UCUCUCUGAAUCUGCGAACGGCUCCGCACACCAGUUGUAAACCAAAGCAAGCAAGCUCGGUCUCGAGUCUUUCGGGGCUAGGGGCCGGGCUACAAGGAUAACCCUGGUAAUUCUGAGGCUAAUACGAGAACGUAACCCCUGGCUAACCGGGCAACUGGAAGGCUGGGAAACGUGUACUAGAUCGCGAGGAUGACCGGGAAAGGAUGCACGUUUGGACCGCGCUCAACAAGGAUCAGGUUGCCGACCUCACGGAAGGUGGCCUGGCCCUAGCGGCUCUUGCAAUGUGCUUCUGACCUAUCAACUAGAUGGCAGCGUAACGGACAUGCUAUGGUGACAACGGGUACAGAGGAUUAGGGUUCGAUCCUGGAGAGUGGGCCUGAGAGAUU
Molecule: ribosomal RNA, 386 nt
Filed under: uncultured myxomycete
Lineage: Eukaryota; Evosea; Eumycetozoa
Description: SSU rRNA
Rfam family: Eukaryotic small subunit ribosomal RNA
Source: RNAcentral